GACGAACGCUGGCGGCGUGCUUAACACAUGCAAGUCGAACGGAAAGGCCCAGCUUGCUGGGUACUCGAGUGGCGAACGGGUGAGUAACACGUGGGUGAUCUGCCCUCCACUCUGUGAUAAGCCUUCGAAACUGGGUCUAAUACCGGAUAUGACCGACUGUCCCACGGUGGUUGGUGGAAAGCUUUUGCGGUGUGGGAUGGGCCCGCGGCCUAUCAGCUUGUUGGUGGGGUAAUGGCCUACCAAGGCGACGACGGGUAGCCGACCUGAGAGGGUGAUCGGCCACACUGGGACUGAGACACGGCCCAGACUCCUACGGGAGGCAGCAGUGGGGAAUAUUGCACAAUGGGCGGAAGCCUGAUGCAGCGACGCCGCGUGAGGGAUGACGGCCUUCGGGUUGUAAACCGCUUUCACCAGGGACGAAGCGUGAGUGACGGUAACUGGAGAAGAAGCACCGGCCAACUACGUG
This 466-nucleotide ribosomal RNA is filed under the name uncultured bacterium. Its description in RNAcentral is "partial 16S ribosomal RNA". It matches the Rfam family "Bacterial small subunit ribosomal RNA", at positions 28 to 507 of the family's 1533-position model. The record is from RNAcentral.